RNAcentral lists this ribosomal RNA (253 nucleotides) under uncultured bacterium. Its description in RNAcentral is "partial 16S ribosomal RNA". It matches the Rfam family "Bacterial small subunit ribosomal RNA", at positions 524 to 776 of the family's 1533-position model. The record is from RNAcentral.
GACGAACCGUGCGAACGUUGUUCGGAAUCACUGGGCUUAAAGGGCGCGUAGGCGGUUUUUCAAGUCUAGGGUGAAAUCUUCCGGCUUAACCGGAAAAGUGCCUUGGAUACUGAAGAACUAGAGGGAGAUAGGGGCAGCUGGAACUUCCAGUGGAGCGGUGAAAUGCGUUGAUAUUGGAAGGAACGCCGGUGGCGAAAGCGAGCUGCUGGAUCUCAUCUGACGCUGAGGCGCGAAAGCUAGGGGAGCAAACGGG